Molecule: ribosomal RNA, 116 nt
Filed under: Uroteuthis noctiluca
Lineage: Eukaryota; Metazoa; Mollusca; Cephalopoda; Myopsida; Loliginidae
Description: partial 28S large subunit ribosomal RNA
Source: RNAcentral
GGGACGUGUGGCGCACGGGUCGAAGGCAGCCGUUCGUUUUCGUCUCGCGUAGUUCGGAGUUCCCUCGAUCGGGGCCGCCCGCGGCGGGUGCCAGGCCCAUUCGGUGCGGACGGCGA